This 426-nucleotide ribosomal RNA is filed under the name uncultured Archangium sp. RNAcentral's name for it is "bacterial SSU rRNA". It matches the Rfam family "Bacterial small subunit ribosomal RNA", at positions 355 to 774 of the family's 1533-position model. The record is from RNAcentral. Lineage: Bacteria; Pseudomonadati; Myxococcota; Myxococcia; Myxococcales; Archangiaceae.
UGGGGAAUUUUGCGCAAUGGGCGAAAGCCUGACGCAGCAACGCCGCGUGUGUGAUGAAGGUCUUCGGAUUGUAAAGCACUUUCGACCGGGACGAAAACCCUCUGGCUAACAUCCAGGGGCUUGACGGUACCGGGAGAAGAAGCACCGGCUAACUCUGUGCCAGCAGCCGCGGUAAUACAGAGGGUGCAAGCGUUGUUCGGAAUUAUUGGGCGUAAAGCGCGUGUAGGCGGCUUUGCAAGUCGGGUGUGAAAGCCCUCAGCUCAACUGAGGAAGUGCGCCCGAAACUGCAGAGCUUGAGUGCCGGAGAGGGUGGCGGAAUUCCCCAAGUAGAGGUGAAAUUCGUAGAUAUGGGGAGGAACACCGGUGGCGAAGGCGGCCACCUGGACGGUAACUGACGCUGAGACGCGAAAGCGUGGGGAGCAAACA